Neopelma chrysocephalum (saffron-crested tyrant-manakin) is the source of this 2030-nucleotide long non-coding RNA. RefSeq lists it as uncharacterized. The transcript is spliced from 6 exons. The record is from RefSeq and is a predicted model, not a curated record. Lineage: Eukaryota; Metazoa; Chordata; Aves; Passeriformes; Pipridae.
CGGGGCCGGCGGAGCCACUGCCGGCGGCAGAAGUUGGCGACAAACGUAUGGUCGCCGUGGCUGCAGCCGCGGCUUUCUUUCUAUUUCUGCUGCAGCUUCCUGUCCUUGACCCAACGAUACAUUGUGAAGUUCUCCGGAGUCAAUGAAUCCUGGUAAAAUGCAGUAAAGGAUUUAAGGUUAUCGUCUGUCUCUCUCUAACUUCUGACAUCUCUUUAUAACAAGAAAGAGUCACAGCCAACUGUAACAGGAGGGCAACACAAUGAAUCCUGGUGCCAAAGACCAUCUGGAUCCUUCAGUUAUGCCUAGUUGUGCCUGAUGUCUUACUAUUGAAAGAAAUGGGGUGCAGCAGCAGAUGCCAGCAAAGUAAAGGUACCUAAAUAGUGCUGUUUACAAAGCAGGUUGUUUUUCUUUACUUGUAUUUCUGCUGUUGUGAGUCUUGUUGUUUACAGCUUCUCAGCGAGAAGAAUAUCCCAAAUGAAAUUACUGUCAGCAGCCAAAGAAAGUAUCCAUAAUUCAUCCCAAAGCACUGUCAACUUAAUUUUAAAGUAAUUUUUCUGCUUUAUGAAUUCAGACUGAAGUGGUGUUUUAUGAGAGCAUGGAACUGCGUGUCACAGCACCUUUUCUCCAUGGGUUGAGACUGUUGUAACACUCCAAGCUUCUGCUACCCACAUACCCUCCACUGCAGUAAUUCUUUGGUACUGUGGAGGGUCAGUCACACAGUGCUGAUCAGAUCAUGUGCCACCUGUUAUAUCCACUAGUAUAUGGGAGUAUAGCAAGGAAAAGAGAAUAACAAAGCUUUAGUGGUGUGGUAUCCCUGACAGUCAGUGUAGUAAGUUAAAACAAACUGCAAAAACUCAGAGCUAUUUUCCUCAGCAGGUGAGCGUUCAGGGAGACCCAGAGCGCAGGGAGAGUUACUGCCACCAGACACAUUCCCCCCCUUCCGCAGACUGGCAUUCUGGCCAAAGUUAAUGAGUCAUAAGAUUCUGCACUGAUUUCACUGUGAGCUUCCACAUUUGCAUAAGUAAAAGCUGCAGCUUCUGUAGGAAAAGUCUUAGUGAAAUUGCAGCACAAAACAUUGAUAUUAUGUAAUUAUAGUAGUUCAUUGUAACUUAAAUGAAAUUGUUACUUUAAACUUGCUCUAAGUGGCUCACAAUGGAACUUCAUAUGACACACCUACAAAACAAAUGAGUUAAUCACAAUAUGUGUCAUUUUUAAUUUUUGUCUUUCAUUUUUCUUUCAGUCAUUCUCUCUUUGUAAUUAGCAUGAAGACUACCCUUCAGUCAAAACUAGCCACCUGGAAAGUUUCAGCUUGUAAUAUGCAGCUUUUUUUGUGAAUUAUGAAUGUGCUAAAGAAGAGACCUUUCUCCCCACACCCACUUCCUUGCAUAAUUCAAAUAUGAAUGAAUGAAUUUUAUUCAGGCUUGCCAAAAAAUCAUAUUUCAGCUGAUAACAAGCAUGAAAAAUUUCACAUGAAAGGGAUCCUUUUUUUUUUAAAGAAUAUUCUGAGCACAGGAGAACAGCAGGUUAAGACAGAAGUCUUAGUGCAGCCUUAACUAUAACAAUUGUUAGCAAGCAAAUACUAUAUCCAAGCACUAAAUUUUGCUUUGUGCUGCCCUGGUGCACAGUAGUGGGGACAGAAUAGAAUAAUAAAAGCUGGUCCCCUUAUGCAAACAGCAGAGCACAGCACUUGACAGAAUACAAGAAGAAGGUGAGCCUGCCUACUGUUCUGGCUUGCAAGGUCUGUGGGUUAGUUGUCACCUAUAGCUCCAGUCAGCUGGCAAAUGUAGUUCAAACACUAGCAAGGGGCAGGUUUUUGGUCCUUUCCAGAAGAACAUUUUACCAGUUCCUUGCCUCCAAAUAUACAGUCCUAUUAAAUAAAGUAUUUGAAGGAAGUUCAUAUAAGAGUAACAUGGUGGUUUAACAGGUCAAAAGGGGAACGGAAUAGUGCUAGGUUUUUUUCUGAUUAACUGUGUAUUUUAAAAAAUAUGUAUCUGUAAAGAAGGUAUUAUCUGCAUCCCUCCCUUACCUUA